UAACACGUAGGUGACCACCCAAAGAGGGGGAUAACGGCCCGAAAGGGCUGCUAAUACCCCAUGUGAUUAGCGAUUCAUUUCGUUAAUGAAAGCUUCCGCAAGAGUGUGCUUUGGGAGGGGCCUGCGGCGGAUUAGAUUGUUGGUGGGGUAAUGGCCUACCAAGUCGAUGAUCCGUAGCUAGUCUGAGAGGAUGAUCAGCCACACUGGGACUGAGACACGGCCCAG
RNAcentral lists this ribosomal RNA (225 nucleotides) under uncultured bacterium. Its description in RNAcentral is "partial 16S ribosomal RNA". It matches the Rfam family "Bacterial small subunit ribosomal RNA", at positions 111 to 334 of the family's 1533-position model. The record is from RNAcentral.